This 158-nucleotide non-coding RNA is filed under the name human gut metagenome. The record is from RNAcentral.
UGGAAAAAAUUUUGAUAUUCUUAGAGUAACCUUCUUUAUUAGCAGCGUUCAGCCAUGGACGGCUGAACGAGACACAAUCGAAUCUGGACGGUUCGUUGGGUCGUCUGCGUCCGUGAUUAAUAAUUUAAAUGGUUGCUCUUAGAAUAUCUUGUUUCUGG